UGGGGAAUAUUGGACAAUGGGCGAACGCCUGAUCCAGCCAUGCCGCGUGAGUGAAGAAGGCCUUAGGGUUGUAAAGCUCUUUUGGCGGGGACGAUAAUGACGGUACCCGCAGAAUAAGCUCCGGCUAACUUCGUGCCAGCAGCCGCGGUAAUACGAAGGGAGCUAGCGUUGUUCGGAAUCACUGGGCGUAAAGCGCACGUAGGCGGACUGCUAAGUCAGGGGUGAAAUCCCGGGGCUCAACCUCGGAACUGCCUUUGAUACUGACCAUCGAGAUUCCGAUAGAGGUUGGUGGACUUCCCAGUGUAGAUGUGAAAUUCUUCGAUAUUAGGAAGAACCCCGGUGGCGAAGGCGGCCCACUGGAUCGGUACUGACGCUGAGGUGCGAAAGCGUGG
RNAcentral lists this ribosomal RNA (392 nucleotides) under uncultured bacterium. Its description in RNAcentral is "bacterial SSU rRNA". It matches the Rfam family "Bacterial small subunit ribosomal RNA", at positions 355 to 764 of the family's 1533-position model. The record is from RNAcentral.